CAUCUUACCGGGCAGCAUUGGAGUCUGUGCUAAGUUUCUUCUAAUACUGUCAGGUAAAGAUGUG
RNAcentral lists this microRNA precursor (64 nucleotides) under Limulus polyphemus (Atlantic horseshoe crab). RNAcentral's name for it is "Lpo-Mir-8-P12_pre stem-loop". It matches the Rfam family "mir-8/mir-141/mir-200 microRNA precursor family", at positions 6 to 67 of the family's 72-position model. From Rfam's summary of the family: The bounds of the precursors are predicted based on conservation and base pairing and are not generally known. The record is from RNAcentral. Lineage: Eukaryota; Metazoa; Arthropoda; Merostomata; Xiphosura; Limulidae.